AUAUACAAAUAUAUGGGAAAAGUAAAUACAUUUACAUACUGUGAAUCAUUUUUGAAUCUAAAAUCGAUAUUGAAUCGAAUCGUGAGCCUAAAAAUCGGAAUCGAGACAAUUUCUGAAUUGUACACCCUUAAUAAAGAUGAGCUUUAUAGCGACUAGUUUGGCA
Molecule: long non-coding RNA, 163 nt
Organism: Etheostoma cragini (Arkansas darter)
Lineage: Eukaryota; Metazoa; Chordata; Actinopteri; Perciformes; Percidae
Exons: 3
Source: RefSeq, a predicted model, not a curated record